RNAcentral lists this ribosomal RNA (257 nucleotides) under uncultured bacterium. Its description in RNAcentral is "partial small subunit ribosomal RNA". It matches the Rfam family "Bacterial small subunit ribosomal RNA", at positions 26 to 285 of the family's 1533-position model. The record is from RNAcentral.
AGGACGAACGCUGGCGGCUUGCUUAACACAUGCAAGUCGAGCGGUGAUCCUCCUUCGGGAGGUGAGCAGCGGCGAACGGGUGAGUAACACGUGGGCAACCUGCCCCUCACACUGGGAUAACCUCGGGAAACCGGGGCUAAUACCGGAUAUGACCUCGAGCGGCAUCUCUUGAGGUGGAAAGCUCCGACGGUGAGGGAUGGGCCCGCGGCCUAUCAGCUUGUUGGUGGGGUAAUGGCCUACCAAGGCGACGACGGGUA